UACGUAGGUGGCAAGCGUUGUCCGGAUUUAUUGGGCUUAAAGGGCGCGUAGGCGGCCUUUUAAGUCAGUGCUGAAAUAUCCCGGCUUAACCGGGAGGGUGGCAUUGAUACUGUAGGGCUUGAGUACAGAUGAGGUAGGCGGAAUUGACGGUGUAGCGGUGAAAUGCAUAGAUAUCGUCAAGAACACCGAUAGCGAAGGCAGCUUACUGGGCUGUAACUGACGCUGAUGCACGAAAGUGUGGGGAUCAAACAGG
This 253-nucleotide ribosomal RNA is filed under the name uncultured bacterium. RNAcentral's name for it is "partial 16S ribosomal RNA". It matches the Rfam family "Bacterial small subunit ribosomal RNA", at positions 524 to 776 of the family's 1533-position model. The record is from RNAcentral.